RNAcentral lists this long non-coding RNA (2692 nucleotides) under Felis catus (domestic cat). Its description in RNAcentral is "lncRNA (ENSFCAG00000041809.2)". The record is from RNAcentral. Lineage: Eukaryota; Metazoa; Chordata; Mammalia; Carnivora; Felidae.
AUGAUGAAAGGGGCCACCUCCCUCUCUGUCGCUGAGCGUCUGGGUCCAAACCUCAGGGCUGCGACGCAGAGCACGAGGAAAGGAGUUGCCGCGAGGAAGUUUCUCGGUCCAAGGACGGGAUCCCUCAGGGGGCCCUGCGUUCUCCCUCCUGGUCUUCCUCCCGCACCGCCGCUUGGGACCCCACGAGAUUCUCCACCCCGCGCGUUCUCCUCCCGGCUCCCGGCGCUCACCACCCAACCUGGGGGCGCAUCGGGGCCUGGGCGGUGGGACCCGGCCCUCGGGACCGAAAGGCGCCCAGCGGAGAGGGGGCAGUCCUGGAAAGAAAAGGGGCUGGAGAACCAAGAGGUCACCAUUCGAUGGACAGAGACUUCACGCACCACGGCCAUAUCUAUCUGGGACCCUUCAUGUACUGUGCCUCAGGAGUACCCAUGGGAUUUUCUGUCUCUACGCCCUCAGGAAAUACUGUCUGGGCACAUAAUGGAGAGGAAGGAUCCAAACGAACGCUGAUGAACUCCAACCCUUUCCUCCUUGGAAAGAUGGAUCGGGCCUUUUGUGAUGAGGCCUCAGAGGUCACAGAGUGUAACUUCUACCGGAACCACACGUCUGCCCAAGAUCAAGGACGGGAAGCCAGUCCCACGCCGCGGGUAACGAGAGCCCCGUGUCACAGUGAGGUUAUGUGGACGGCGUCCUUGCAGGCAUUUUUGGUAAAUGCAACCCAUAGUGGGUCUCACCUGGCAUCUGAGGCGCACGCUUAUAACACUAAUACCCUCGAGGGAAGUAGCCUGUUCAAUACGAGGUGGAAGAAACUGUCGGGUUUUUAACUGGGAGCAGGAAAACUUGGAAGGAGCUUGGGCACCUUGGCUGCAUUUCCUGGUCUCCCCGGAGCCAUCAUCUCUGUCUCUGGAAAAUAUUUACCUUCGGCCAAGGAGGCGGCUCAGUCGUGGACGGGGAUGGUGAGGUCCCCACCUCUCUCUCGGGGGGAGGACGGAUUUCAGAGGGAGCCGGUCACCCCGCUUGGCAAUGAACUGCUUGGGCCGUAGGAAACCUAAUGGGACAGAACACAGUCUAAUUUUCUGGGAAAGCCGCACAGCCUCCCUGCGAUUUUGCAUCCGAUAAGAGUUCCCAUCUGGGGCUCCCUCGCGGGCUGUUCGAAACUCCCGUGUAAGAGGCAGCUCUGUACAACCAGGCUCGUCUUGGCACGGGGACGGGCUGCGUCUGGGCAGGUGAGGCUGCCUGCUCGUGAGAUGCUGGGGCCGCCCUGACGUUGCUGUCCCGCUGACUUGCCAAGGAGGGAAGUCACCGGCUGCCCCAAACAGGGUCCCGCACGGUCGGCGGAGGUCUCUGCUACAAGGUGAUGUCGGAUUGCUGCAGAGACAGCGAGGUGCCAACAUUAAAUAGAUACAGACUCCCGCCCAGACCCGCCUGGCCAAAAGGAUGACAAUAUUGGGGAGUCUCGUUACUAACACACGGCUUGAGAAACAACGCAUGGCCACCGUGGGACGGAUUGGCUUCCGGACGCACUCUUUCGUGUUCUUUGCUUAGUUCCUUUAUUACCUGUGUUUAUUGUCUAGUAAAUGGUUUGAAAUUAGAAAAAAAAAAAUCCCGAGAAGGGACAACGUUACAGUAGGAUAAAUCCUUCGAAGCGAAUGUAGAUCAACAAAGUCAACACCGGAGAUUUGCUUUUCCAAACGACACCGGGGCUGAAAUGGGACUUGAACCCCAGCGUCUCCAGACCCAAGGUCAACGUUGCCUCUGCUGCCUCCUGUUGAAUCUGUGAUGAACCCACGUGCUUAAUUGUCGGUCAGCGGCCUUCCAAAGGUCCUGGGGAAGAUAUCCUGUCACUGAGAUGUCCCCCGGGAUUGGGCAUGAUCGCUGAUGGAGAGACUCCUCUCUGUGCCUGCCCCAGGCUCAUGGGAACCAACCGGUAUAUUCGCUCCAUCUGGCUCCGUCCAUGACCCUGAGUCCGUGACCCUGAGUCCAAAUCCACUUGGAGAGAGAUGGAGACAGAAAAGGAGAUAGUGCAAAGUCCUAGAUUCUCAGAACACUGAGGAUCCCCCAGUGGGAUGAGCAAACUCUGAUGUGGUCAAUGCCUCCCUGGGACGUUGCAGCAGGAAUACUGAUGAAGAUGGAAAAUUGCAUGCUUACAGCCACUGGGAAUAUUUUGAGCCAGGCUGCGACGUUUAAACUGAAUGCGAUCUCUAAACAUAGCACAUCGAUGUCCCCAAACCAAAGCGGCCCAUCUGUAGCAGAAACAGCAACUUCUAUUUAAUGACGCUUAAGCAGGAGCAUUGCCAGAAUGAGCCUGCCUCAAGCGCACAGCCACUCCGUCCCUGGAAGCUUCCCGACGCUGCAAGCAGAGGGUGGCCGAGGUGAGCAGCAGACCCUCCAGCCUGGGGUGAUGUCUGGAAACCCGGCUGUCCGAUCCUGAAUGGAGACAUCUGGUCCAGUGUUAGCUUGAUCGUUAUCUGUCCCCAGGCAGGGCAGGUUGAAGAGGGCGGGAGGAGAUGCACCAGACCACCGUGCGUACAGACAGUGCUCCUGAUGUGGGCAGACCUGGGUUCGAAUCCCUGCGUUACUGCUGUGCGACCUUGGCCAAAUCUCCGAGCCUCUCUGAGCCUCUGUUUCCCCAGCUGCCAAGUGGAGGUGACUCUGCUGGGAGAAUAAAGAGGGAGCAGAGCCCUGCGUGUAGUCA